CAGCCGCCGCGGGAAUACGUAGGCAGCAAGCGUUGUUCGGAGUUACUGGGCGUAAAGGGUGCGUAGGCGGUUCUAUAAGUAUGGUGUGAAAUCUCCCGGCUUAACUGGGAGGGUGCGCUAUAAACUGUGGGACUAGAGUGUGGGAGAGGAAAGUGGAAUUCCUGGUGUAGCGGUGAAAUGUGUAGAUAUCAGGAGGAACACCGGUGGUGUAAACGGCUUUCUGGACCAUAACUGACGCUGAGGCACGAAAGCGUGGGUAGCAAACAGGAUUAGAUACCCCCGUAGUCCCUGUCUCUUAUAC
Molecule: ribosomal RNA, 301 nt
Filed under: uncultured bacterium
Lineage: Bacteria
Description: partial 16S ribosomal RNA
Rfam family: Bacterial small subunit ribosomal RNA
Source: RNAcentral